GUGGGGAAUUUUGCGCAAUGGGGGAAACCCUGACGCAGCAACGCCGCGUGAGUGAUGAAGGCCCUUGGGUCGUAAAGCUCUGACAGAGGGAAAGAAAUGCAGGGGAGCUAAUAUCUCCUUUGCUUGACGGUACCCUCAAAGGAAGCACCGGCUAACUCCGUGCCAGCAGCCGCGGUAAUACGGGGGGUGCAAGCGUUGUUCGGAUUUAUUGGGCGUAAAGCGCGUGUAGGCGGUUUUAUAAGUCUGAUGUGAAAGCCCUGGGCUCAACCCGGGAAGUGCAUUGGAUACUGUAAGACUUGAAUACGGGAGAGGGUAGUGGAAUUCCUAGUGUAGGAGUGAAAUCCGUAGAUAUUAGGAGGAACACCGGUGGCGAAGGCGGCUGCCUGGACCGAUAUUGACGCUGAGACGCGAAAGCGUGGGUAGCAAACAGGAUUAGAUACCCGGGUAGUCC
RNAcentral lists this ribosomal RNA (451 nucleotides) under uncultured bacterium. RNAcentral's name for it is "bacterial SSU rRNA". It matches the Rfam family "Bacterial small subunit ribosomal RNA", at positions 354 to 796 of the family's 1533-position model. The record is from RNAcentral.